Molecule: small nuclear RNA, 149 nt
Filed under: Zalophus californianus (California sea lion)
Lineage: Eukaryota; Metazoa; Chordata; Mammalia; Carnivora; Otariidae
Description: U4 spliceosomal RNA (ENSZCAG00015004410.1)
Rfam family: U4 spliceosomal RNA (bases 1-79)
About the family: U4 small nuclear RNA (U4 snRNA) is a component of the major U2-dependent spliceosome.
Source: RNAcentral
AGCUUGGUGCAGUGGCAGUAUCAUAGCCGAUGCGGUUUAUCCGAGGCGCGAUUAUUGCUAAUUGAAAACUCAUCCCCCCGACGCUUUCCCAUGCCUUCUCUCCUCACCCACCCUUUUCAGUACGAAACUGGUAGAAACUGACAGCUCAG